Molecule: ribosomal RNA, 277 nt
Filed under: uncultured bacterium
Lineage: Bacteria
Description: partial 16S ribosomal RNA
Rfam family: Bacterial small subunit ribosomal RNA
Source: RNAcentral
GACGAACGCUGGCGGCGUGCCUAACACAUGCAAGUGGAGCGACGAACCGGGCUUCGGCCCGGGGCAGAGCCGCGAACGGGUGAGUAACACGUGGGUAACCUGCCCUGAUGAUUGGGACAACCCGAGGAAACUCGGGCUAAUACCGAAUGUGCCCUUUGGCCACAAGGCUGACGGGGAAAGGAAGCUUCGGCCUCCGCAUCGGGAUGGGCCCGCGGCCCAUUAGCUUGUUGGUGAGGUAAAGGCUCACCAAGGCGACGAUGGGUAGCCGGCCUGAGAG